UUAAUUGGGUGUUGGCCACAGCAUUCAAAGCAUUUAUUAGAUCAAAACCAACUGCAGUGAUGCGUCAGUAUCAUUGUAAGGUGAAUCUAGAUAACUUUGCUGAUCGUAUGGCCUUGUGCCGGCGACAUUUCAAUUGAAUUUCUGCCCUAUCAACUUGUUGGUAAGGUAGUGGCUUACCAAGGUUACAACGGGUAACGGGGAAUCAGGGUUCGAUUCCGGAGAGGGAGCCUGAGAAAUGGCUACCACAUCCAAGGGAGGCAGCAGGCGCGCAAAUUACCCAAUCCAGAUUCUGGGAGGUGGUGACGAGAAAUACUAGAUAGUUUCCUAACGGAUGCUAUACUGGAAUGGACGUAAUUUAAGAAAUUCGAUGAGUAACAACUGGAGGGCAAGUCUGGUGCCAGCAGCCGCGGUAAUUCCAGCUCCAGUAGUGUAUCUUAAAGUUGCUGCGUUUAAAACGCUCGUAGUUGGAUUACGCAGCAUAAUCUAGUAGAUUUGCUCGAUGCCACACUAAAUUCAGCUAUUGGUGGUUGCUGCUAUGGUUUAUCCUGGUAGUCGCCAUCAGUGGUUGAAGUGGUACGAGCAAAUUAACAGCUAGUUUAUGCUACUUUUUCGUGAGAUGGCAGUUGACCUUUAAUGUGUUGAUUGUCGUGUCUUACGAAGCGUGCCUUGAAUAAAUCAGAGUGCUCAAUACAGGCUUUAGCUUGAAUGUCGAUAGCAUGGAACGAACAAUUGUGUUAAAUGUGUCUUGUUCAGCUUCUAGGUUGAUUUAUAUUGGCCUAGAAAUCCUGUUCAACUCACAGCACCAACCACCAUUAUCGGAUGUUGGUUUCCGUGAUGGGGUGAUGAUUAAAAGGAGCGGUUGGGGGCAUUGGUAUUUUGCCGCGAGAGGUGAAAUUCUUGGACCGGCAAAGGACUAACAAAUGCGAAGGCAUCUGUCAAGACCGUUUCCAUUAAUCAAGAACGAUAGUGAGAGGUUCGAAGACGAUCAGAUACCGUCCUAGUUCUCACUGUAAACUAUGCCGACCCGGGAUCAGUUUCGAGCUAUAUUACGCUCGUGGUUGGUCCCCCUGGGAAACCUCAAGUUUUUAGGUUACGGGGGGAGUAUGGUCGCAAGGCUGAAACUUAAAGGAAUUGACGGAAGGGCACCACCAGGGGUGGAGCCUGCGGCUUAAUUUGACUCAACACGGGAAAACUCACCUGGUCCGGACAUCGAAAGGAUAGACAGACUGAUAGAUCUUUCUUGAUACGGUGGAUGGUGGUGCAUGGCCGUUCUUAGUUCGUGGAGUGAUCUGUCAGGUUGAUUCCGGUAACGGACGAGACCAUAAUUUUCAUUUAAGGAACUAGAAAAGACUUUGAGAAGGUUCGCCUUUUCCUUGUCGCUGGUACAGUGUGUCUUCAUUGCGUUUUGACCUGUUGUCGUUCGUCUUUUACGAGAAGGGUGACAGUAGGAAGAGGCGUAAUAACGGGGUGCAUUGUCCCUCUAGUCAAACAUCGUAGAGCUUGCUUUACGGUGUACUAUGAAAAGACAACCAAGAAUACUUAAGAAGUUGGAGAAGUUUUU
Molecule: ribosomal RNA, 1561 nt
Filed under: Myxobilatus gasterostei
Lineage: Eukaryota; Metazoa; Cnidaria; Myxozoa; Bivalvulida; Myxobilatidae
Description: SSU rRNA
Rfam family: Eukaryotic small subunit ribosomal RNA
Source: RNAcentral